Molecule: non-coding RNA, 795 nt
Organism: Ciona intestinalis (vase tunicate)
Lineage: Eukaryota; Metazoa; Chordata; Ascidiacea; Phlebobranchia; Cionidae
Source: RefSeq, a predicted model, not a curated record
UAGCUAAACAACACGCGGCUGUUCUACGCUUUCGUUUCGCGACGUUUUUUCAAUGGGGCCCCAUGCGCGUUUUGCGUCGAUGCAAGGCACAUCACUUGUAUAUUCUAAUUGUAUUUGCGCUAUAAACGCGAAGCAAGAAGAUCAAAGAAUUGGUAAAGUAUAAAUCACAAUUGGCAUUAUUACGUACAUAAGCUCUUUUUUAGAAACCUCGGAGAUGUGACGUCACGAAGUGGUGAUGACGCAACAGAAGAACCCACUUCAACAUGUUAUGUGACGUCACAGAGGAUCAAGCGGACCAUGACGUAAAGAUGGAAUGAAGAAAAGUCAGCGAAUAAAGCUGCCGAAGAAAAGCGCAAGUCGAAGAACAAAGACGAAGACGCCAAAAAGGAUACACGGUUUGAGGUUUGAGUAUUAUAAGUAUGAGUUGCGUGUUGUAUGUAUGUCUGUCUGCGCUGUUGUACCUUUACUCUGCUGGACCUAAUGUUGCCAGCUAUUUUUAGUCAGUCACUACUAUAGUGCAUUUUACAUGUCUAUGAAAUAUAUGCAAUAAAACUAUGGCGAACAUCUUGCUGGAUCGGAUUUUGUUGUUGUACACUCUAUUGGGUACUUCUUCUGCAAAGAUCGAAUCUUUUAACGAUUUUGUAUUGUCCUAAUCGCUUGGUGAGAACGCUAUGUUGGUACACAAAUACUCGAGUAAUAUCAACACGCAGUAUAAUAUGCGCAUAAUAAAGGUCCAUAAUUUCCCCUUAAAGUCUAUAAAAUAUCAACUUCUCCAUUCCUAAUAAAAUAUUUAUA